Non-coding RNA from Hydra vulgaris (swiftwater hydra), 236 nucleotides. The record is from RefSeq and is a predicted model, not a curated record. NCBI's taxonomy places the organism in Eukaryota, Metazoa, Cnidaria, Hydrozoa, Anthoathecata, Hydridae.
CAAGAUACAGAAGGUAUUCUUUUAAUUUUGUAUAACAUUAAUUAAUUAAAGAGAUAAAAAGAGAUGAUACGUCAAUAAUACUGAGAUAUUUAGCUUAUUAUUUUAUUAAGAAAUUACAUUAAGAUAACUUUGUAUAUCUUUAGGCGACGAAGAAGUUUCUGCAUUUUUUCGAAAUGUUCAAGAGAUCAGAGCCGAAGAGCUCUUGCCAACGGAAGUAAAGGACAAGCUAAGUGAGG